UACGUAGGGGCUAGGUUAUCCGGAAUUACUGGGCGUAAAGGGUGCGUAGGUGGUUUCUUAAGUCAGAGGUGAAGGGCUACGGCUCAAACCGUAGUAAGCCUUUGAAACUGGGAAACUUGAGUGCAGGAGAGGAGAGUGGAAUUCCUAGUGUAGCGGUGAAAUGCGUAGAUAUUAGGAGGAAACACCAGUUGCGAAGGCGGCUCUCUGGACUGUAACUGACACUGAGGCACGAAAGCGUGGGGAGCAAACAGGAUUUAGAUACCCUGGUAGUCCCUGAG
This 278-nucleotide ribosomal RNA is filed under the name uncultured prokaryote. RNAcentral describes it as "partial 16S ribosomal RNA". It matches the Rfam family "Bacterial small subunit ribosomal RNA", at positions 524 to 801 of the family's 1533-position model. The record is from RNAcentral.